AUGAGUGAGGAGUACAAGCCGCCGAAAGCCGUGAAGAUCAAAAUCGGCUCACUGAAAUCCGAGCUGAGCAGCAUCAAUGCUUUUCUCAAGAAGUUGGCUGACAGGGAGGAUCUAGACGGUCAGACCAAGGAAUGGAGGGACCAGGUGAGAGAGAUGGCCUAUGAAAUCAGGACUGCGUUGAUAACUACAUGCACAAGCUCCACCAUGAGCCGGAUAAAGUAG
RNAcentral lists this ribosomal RNA (222 nucleotides) under Triticum aestivum (bread wheat). RNAcentral describes it as "partial small subunit ribosomal RNA". The record is from RNAcentral. Lineage: Eukaryota; Viridiplantae; Streptophyta; Magnoliopsida; Poales; Poaceae.